This 489-nucleotide ribosomal RNA is filed under the name Streptococcus uberis. RNAcentral's name for it is "bacterial SSU rRNA". It matches the Rfam family "Bacterial small subunit ribosomal RNA", at positions 19 to 490 of the family's 1533-position model. Lineage: Bacteria; Bacillati; Bacillota; Bacilli; Lactobacillales; Streptococcaceae. The record is from RNAcentral.
CUGGCUCAGGACGAACGCUGGCGGCGUGCCUAAUACAUGCAAGUAGAACGCUGAGGACUGGUGCUUGCACUGGUCUAAGGAGUUGCGAACGGGUGAGUAACGCGUAGGUAACCUACCUCAUAGCGGGGGAUAACUAUUGGAAACGAUAGCUAAUACCGCAUGACAAUAGGGUACACAUGUACCCUAUUUAAAAGGGGCAAAUGCUUCACUAUGAGAUGGACCUGCGUUGUAUUAGCUAGUUGGUAAGGUAACGGCUUACCAAGGCGACGAUACAUAGCCGACCUGAGAGGGUGAUCGGCCACACUGGGACUGAGACACGGCCCAGACUCCUACGGGAGGCAGCAGUAGGGAAUCUUCGGCAAUGGGGGGAACCCUGACCGAGCAACGCCGCGUGAGUGAAGAAGGUUUUCGGAUCGUAAAGCUCUGUUGUUAGAGAAGAACGGUAAUGGGAGUGGAAAAUCCAUUACGUGACGGUAACUAACCAGAAAG